AUGACUACAGAUCAGGCCACAUUCCAAUCUCACUUGCGAUGUUUUUGCACCAUGGCCUUCAAGAGAGAUAAGCUUUCCCUCUUCAGUGACCGCAAGCUUAGAACCAAGUUUAUAUUCUUUUCUUGCAAUACUGUUGGGGUUUUUUCACAUCUUAUUGGUAAAACAAUAGCAAAACAAAGGCCAAAGAGAAGUGAUUUGACAGUUAGUAUUACCCUAAGGGAAAAAAAGGCGAAGGACUUGAACCGCAGACACCAGCAUGGCAAGCUAUUGGUUAUUCUUGUGCGGGUGACUGUCCCCCUCUAGUUUUAACCUCACAUAGCUGUAUGGACCUGAAAAACUCUUCCCAACACAGGUAUCACCAGAAUUCUAAUGGCCAUAUUGAAAGUGUCAGAAAAUUCCCUGCCAAGCUCUAUUUGCAGCAUUCUGGGAAAUACCAGAGAUGAGAAGAACAAUGCACAAGCAGUCCAAGACUGAACGCUUCCAAUUGCCUUCAGCCCUUGCCAACACGGGGAACUAAGCAGUUUGCUUUGCUACUGACCAAGCACUUUCUACAAGAUAGCUGGAAAGAAUGGUGGAAGGGGGUGGAGGGAAUUCCUCUUCCAGAUGCCAGUUAGCUCUGAAUCCUUUCCUUUAAGUUAACACAUUUCUUCAAGUGUCCAACGGAAUAAUGAAGCAAAUGCUUCUAAAAGAGCUAGUAACACACCAGACAUGCAGUCAUUCAUAUCUGAAUGUAGUGCAACCUCAGAUCAUUCACGUAUCAAUUAAAUAUUGUUACCCUGACACCCAGUCUGAAACAGCAAGUACAUCAGUGAGUAGAGCUGCAAUGCUCUUACCCUGCUGUAUUUGUUCUGGCAAUCAAAAGGGGGCACAUAGACUGCCUAACUGUCAUUACAGGUCCUUCGAUAAGUGAAAAUUCACUUUUAACAAAACACAAUGACUAUUCUUUUCUAAUCAAGUCAAGCAGGCUUGUAUUCUAAUGAAAAGGCAUUAAACCAAGGGAGAAACAGAUUAAAAUAAGUUAUGCUAUACUGCAAAAUACACCUGUGACUGCAACUAUAAUUGGUGGAUAGACAGGCAGUCGCUCUGUCAGCUUUGGAAAUGGGUCAUGGUGUUCUGGAAAAAAACAGCAAAAUGAGUUAAAAUUCAGCUUUCAGUUCUACAGCUCUAUAUACACUGUAGAAAAAUAGAUUCAGGUUGAUUGAUCGUACUCAAAGCUGUGAUUUCUUUUGGAUGUACUCCCAAAACAGACUCAUCAGCACUGACCAGAUUCCUAUUUCUGUGGUAUACUUUGCAGCUACUGGCUGUGUAGUCAUGCUAACAUAAAACCAUCUGUAUUUCCUGAAUCAAUGUAAACUUCUUAAUUUUUAUUAUUUCAGGGAGAAGGUGAUUCUGAAUAAAUUUUGAAGCUGCUAGCA
This 1415-nucleotide long non-coding RNA is filed under the name Anas platyrhynchos platyrhynchos (common mallard). Its description in RNAcentral is "lncRNA (ENSAPLG00000024660.1)". The record is from RNAcentral. Lineage: Eukaryota; Metazoa; Chordata; Aves; Anseriformes; Anatidae.